GGAGAGGUGCCGGAGUGGUCGAUCGGGGUGCUCUCGAAAAGCAUUGUGGCCUUGCGGUCACCGUGGGUUCGAAUCCCACCCUCUCCGCCA
RNAcentral lists this transfer RNA (90 nucleotides) under Anaerolineae bacterium. RNAcentral's name for it is "tRNA-Ser". It matches the Rfam family "tRNA". From Rfam's summary of the family: Transfer RNA (tRNA) molecules are approximately 80 nucleotides in length. Their secondary structure includes four short double-helical elements and three loops (D, anti-codon, and T loops). Lineage: Bacteria; Bacillati; Chloroflexota; Anaerolineae. The record is from RNAcentral.